CGAAAUCGCCAACUGUUGGUCAAAUCUUCAAGGAAUAUCCCAGAUUUCUGGACAUGCCAGCCUUGGUGGACAUUGAAUUUUCCAAGAUGACAGAUGGGAAAGAAGACAUGUUUAUCAAGAAAUGGUAGGGGACGAUUAUCCCAAAACUCAAGGAAAUAGCAUCCUUUGAGAAACAAAUGUACAUCAGACACUUAUUGGAGAAAGCUGACAAUCAGCAGGAUGAUGAGCUGUGUUACACUAUGUUAAGGAUCCUCGUUCAUCUUCUUCCACCCACGGCAUCUGGGAGAAGCGUCGCCGGCAGUAAAUGCUGUGUCAAUUCUGCUAUCUCAUACUUGUUGGAACUGGUGCCGGUAUGCAUUGUGUUAGAUUUUUAUAAAGUUGCAAUGUCACAUGCAACAACAUUAUGAAUGUUUUAUAUGAUUAAUGUUUUGAAAUGCUUAUUUUUUAUCAACAGUAUUUUUUACAGUAUGAAUUCCAUGUUAAAACCAGAAAAAAUGCAAAAUAAACAGUAUGUGAACCGUAUUCAAUGCUUCAGUGUGAUUUCAUGAUAACUACAUAUUGUAUUCUGAUCUAGCUUUUUCAAUAAUGUUUUAUAAUAAAAUAAAUCUAUAACACACAGUUGUGUUAGAUGUAUACAAAAAGACACAUUAAUGUGUUAACUAAAGUAACACAUUUGUCUGUGUGUUUUCACAACACAUAUUCUGUGUUGUAUUUUAAUUAUUAAGUAAGUUGAUUCAACAUAAUGUUUUAAGUA
This is a long non-coding RNA of Xyrauchen texanus (razorback sucker), 754 nucleotides long. RefSeq lists it as uncharacterized. Lineage: Eukaryota; Metazoa; Chordata; Actinopteri; Cypriniformes; Catostomidae. The transcript is spliced from 3 exons. The record is from RefSeq and is a predicted model, not a curated record.